Molecule: ribosomal RNA, 497 nt
Filed under: uncultured bacterium
Lineage: Bacteria
Description: partial 16S ribosomal RNA
Rfam family: Bacterial small subunit ribosomal RNA
Source: RNAcentral
GAUGAACGCUGGCGGCGUGCCUAAUACAUGCAAGUCGAGCGAACAGACGAGGAGCUUGCUCCUCUGACGUUAGCGGCGGACGGGUGAGUAACACGUGGAUAACCUACCUAUAAGACUGGGAUAACUUCGGGAAACCGGAGCUAAUACCGGAUAAUAUAUUGAACCGCAUGGUUCAAUAGUGAAAGACGGUUUGGCUGUCACUUAUAGAUGGAUCCGCGCCGCAUUAGCUAGUUGGUAAGGUAACGGCUUACCAAGGCAACGAUGCGUAGCCGACCUGAGAGGGUGAUCGGCCACACUGGAACUGAGACACGGUCCAGACUCCUACGGGAGGCAGCAGUAGGGAAUCUUCCGCAAUGGGCGAAAGCCUGGCGGAGCAACGCCGCGUGAGUGAUGAAGGUCUUCGGAUCGUAAAACUCUGUUAUUAGGGAAGAACAAAUGUGUAAGUAACUAUGCACGUCUUGACGGUACCUAAUCAGAAAGCCACGGCUAACUACGUG